GAUGAAGAACGUAGCGAAAUGCGAUAAGUAAUGCGAAUUGCAGAAUUCAGUGAGUCAUCGAAUCUUUGAACGCACAUUGCGCCCUGUGGUAUUCCGCAGGGCAUGCCUGUUCGAGCGUCAUUUCAACCCUCAAGCCCCGCUUGGUGUUGGGCCCCGCCCGCUGUGGCCGGCCCUAAAGACAGUGGCGGCGCCGCCUGGCCCUCAGCGUAGUACAUCUCUCGCUCCAGGGUCCGGUGGCCGCCUGCCAGAACCCCCCAACUCUGUGGUUGACCUCGGAUCAGGUAGGGAUACCCGCUGAACUUAAGCAUAUCAAUAGCGGAGGA
Molecule: unclassified non-coding RNA, 323 nt
Filed under: soil metagenome
Description: partial contains 5.8S ribosomal RNA, internal transcribed spacer 2, and large subunit ribosomal RNA
Rfam family: 5.8S ribosomal RNA (bases 1-120)
Source: RNAcentral